This 778-nucleotide ribosomal RNA is filed under the name uncultured bacterium. RNAcentral describes it as "bacterial SSU rRNA". It matches the Rfam family "Bacterial small subunit ribosomal RNA", at positions 9 to 800 of the family's 1533-position model. The record is from RNAcentral.
GGGUUUGAUCCUGGCUCAGGAUGAACGCUGGCGGCGUGCUUAACACAUGCAAGUCGAACGAUGAUCCGGUGCUUGCACCGGGGAUUAGUGGCGAACGGGUGAGUAACACGUGAGUAACCUGCCCUUGACUCUGGGAUAAGCCUGGGAAACUGGGUCUAAUACCGGAUAUGACUCCUCAUCGCAUGGUGGGGGGUGGAAAGCUUUUGCGGUUUUGGAUGGACUCGCGGCCUAUCAGCUUGUUGGUGAGGUAAUGGCUCACCAAGGCGACGACGGGUAGCCGGCCUGAGAGGGUGACCGGCCACACUGGGACUGAGACACGGCCCAGACUCCUACGGGAGGCAGCAGUGGGGAAUAUUGCACAAUGGGCGAAAGCCUGAUGCAGCGACGCCGCGUGAGGGAUGACGGCCUUCGGGUUGUAAACCUCUUUCAGUAGGGAAGAAGCGAAAGUGACGGUACCUGCAGAAGAAGCGCCGGCUAACUACGUGCCAGCAGCCGCGGUAAUACGUAGGGCGCAAGCGUUAUCCGGAAUUAUUGGGCGUAAAGAGCUCGUAGGCGGUUUGUCGCGUCUGCCGUGAAAGUCCGGGGCUCAACUCCGGAUCUGCGGUGGGUACGGGCAGACUAGAGUGAUGUAGGGGAGACUGGAAUUCCUGGUGUAGCGGUGAAAUGCGCAGAUAUCAGGAGGAACACCGAUGGCGAAGGCAGGUCUCUGGGCAUUAACUGACGCUGAGGAGCGAAAGCAUGGGGAGCGAACAGGAUUAGAUACCCUGGUAGUCCAUGC